GUUCUUAUAGUGUAGUGAAGCACAUAAGAUUUUCAAUCUUUUAGAACACUAAGAAUAUAGUAGUGUUAAGAAUA
RNAcentral lists this transfer RNA (74 nucleotides) under Chiroteuthis picteti. RNAcentral describes it as "tRNA-Glu". It matches the Rfam family "tRNA". From Rfam's summary of the family: Transfer RNA (tRNA) molecules are approximately 80 nucleotides in length. Their secondary structure includes four short double-helical elements and three loops (D, anti-codon, and T loops). The record is from RNAcentral. Lineage: Eukaryota; Metazoa; Mollusca; Cephalopoda; Oegopsida; Chiroteuthidae.